GCCUGGGUGGCUCAGUCGGUUGAGCGGCCGGCUUCGACUCAGGUCAUGAUCUCACAGUUCGUGGGUUCAAGCCCCACAUCAGGCU
Molecule: transfer RNA, 85 nt
Filed under: Felis catus (domestic cat)
Lineage: Eukaryota; Metazoa; Chordata; Mammalia; Carnivora; Felidae
Rfam family: tRNA
About the family: Transfer RNA (tRNA) molecules are approximately 80 nucleotides in length. Their secondary structure includes four short double-helical elements and three loops (D, anti-codon, and T loops). Further hydrogen bonds mediate the characteristic L-shaped molecular structure. tRNAs have two regions of fundamental functional importance: the anti-codon, which is responsible for specific mRNA codon recognition, and the 3' end, to which the tRNAs corresponding amino acid is attached (by aminoacyl-tRNA synthetases). tRNAs cope with the degeneracy of the genetic code in two manners: having more than one tRNA (with a specific anti-codon) for a particular amino acid; and 'wobble' base-pairing, i.e. permitting non-standard base-pairing at the 3rd anti-codon position.
Source: Rfam by way of RNAcentral